AGCACCGGCUAAUUCCGUGCCAGCAGCCGCGGUAAUACGGAAAGGUGCAAGCGUUAAUCGGAAUCACUGGGCGUAAAGCGCGCGUAGGCAGCCUUGUAAGUCGGAUGUGAAAGCCCACGGCUCAACCGUGGAACUGCAUUCGAAACUGCUUGGCUUGAGUCUUGGAGAGGGUGNCGGAAUUCCAGGUGUAGGAGUGAAAUCCGUAGAUAUCUGGAGGAACACCAGUGGCGAAGGCGGCCACCUGGACAAUGACUGACGCUGAGGUGCGAAAGCGUGGGUAGCAAACAGGAUUAGAUACCCUGGUAGUCCACGCCGUAAACGAUGGAUGCUAGGUGUCUGCCCGUUGGGGUAGGUGCCGUAGUUAACGCGUUAAGCAUCCCGCCUGGGGAGUACGGUCGCAAGGCUGAAACUCAAAGAAAUUGACGGGGGCCCGCACAAGCGGUGGAGUAUGUGGUUUAAUUCGAUGCAACGCGAAGAACCUUACCUGGACUUGACAUCCCGCGAAUCCUCUAGAGAUAGAGGAGUGCCCUUCGGGGAGCGCGGUGACAGGUGCUGCAUGGCUGUCGUCAGCUCGUGUCGUGAGGUGUUGGGUUAAGUCCCGCAACGAGCGCAACCCCUAUCCUUAGUUGCCACCAGAUAAUGCUGAGCACUCUAGGGAGACUGCCCGGGUCAACCGGGAGGAAGGUGGGGACGACGUCAAGUCAUCAUGGCCCUUACGUCCAGGGCUACACACGUACUACAAUGGUGGGUACAACGGGCAGCAAGACCGCGAGGUGGAGCCAAUCCCAAAAAACCCAUCCCAGUCCGGAUUGCAGUCUGCAACUCGACUGCAUGAAGUUGGAAUCGCUAGUAAUCCCGGAUCAGCAUGCCGGGGUGAUACGUUCCCGGGCCUUGUACACACCGCCCGUCACACCACGAAAGUUGGUUCUACCCGACGUCAGUGAGCUAACCCUUUUGGGAGGCAGCUGCCUACGGUAGGACUGAUGAUUGGGGUGAAGUCGU
Molecule: ribosomal RNA, 1002 nt
Filed under: uncultured organism
Description: bacterial SSU rRNA
Rfam family: Bacterial small subunit ribosomal RNA
Source: RNAcentral